This is an unclassified non-coding RNA of Macaca fascicularis (crab-eating macaque), 148 nucleotides long. It matches the Rfam family "Metazoan signal recognition particle RNA". Rfam says of the family: The signal recognition particle (SRP) is a universally conserved ribonucleoprotein. Lineage: Eukaryota; Metazoa; Chordata; Mammalia; Primates; Cercopithecidae. The record is from Ensembl.
GCUGGAUGUGGUGGCGUGUGCCUGUAAUCCCAGCUAUUCGGGAGGCUGAGGCAGGAGAAUCGCUUGAACCCAGGAGGUGGAGAUUGCAGUGAGCCGAGAUCACACCACUGCACUCCAGCCUGGGUAACAAAGUGAGACUCUGCCUCAA